Molecule: ribosomal RNA, 253 nt
Filed under: uncultured bacterium
Lineage: Bacteria
Description: partial 16S ribosomal RNA
Rfam family: Bacterial small subunit ribosomal RNA
Source: RNAcentral
UACGUAGGUGGCAAGCGUUGUCCGGAAUUACUGGGCGUAAAGCGUGCGCAGGCGGCUUCUCAAGUCAGGGGUGAAAGCCCAGAGCUCAACUCUGGAAUUGCCUUUGAGACUGAGUGGCUUGAGUACGGGAGAGGUGAGUGGAAUUCCCAGUGUAGAGGUGAAAUUCGUAGAUAUUGGGAAGAACACCGGUGGCGAAGGCGGCUCACUGGCCCGUAACUGACGCUCAUGCACGACAGCGUGGGGAUCAAACAGG